AUACCUGGCGGCAGCUUACCAUGCAAGUCGAGCGGGGAAAGUAGCUUGCUACUUUACCUAGCGGCGGACGGGUGAGUAAUGCUUAGGAAUCUGCCUAUUAGUGGGGGACAACAUUUCGAAAGGAAUGCUAAUACCGCAUACGCCCUACGGGGGAAAGCAGGGGAUCUUCGGACCUUGCGCUAAUAGAUGAGCCUAAGUCGGAUUAGCUAGUUGGUGGGGUAAAGGCCUACCAAGGCGACGAUCUGUAGCGGGUCUGAGAGGAUGAUCCGCCACACUGGGACUGAGACACGGCCCAGACUCCUACGGGAGGCAGCAGUGGGGAAUAUUGGACAAUGGGGGGAACCCUGAUCCAGCCAUGCCGCGUGUGUGAAGAAGGCCUUUUGGUUGUAAAGCACUUUAAGCGAGGAGGAGGCUACUUAGAUUAAUACUCUGAGACAGUGGACGUUACUCGCAGAAUAAGCACCGGCUAACUCUGUGCCAGCAGCCGCGGUAAU
Molecule: ribosomal RNA, 494 nt
Filed under: uncultured bacterium
Lineage: Bacteria
Description: bacterial SSU rRNA
Rfam family: Bacterial small subunit ribosomal RNA
Source: RNAcentral